AGGGAAACUUACGCUAAUACCGCAUACGACCUUAGGGUGAAAGCGGAGGACCUUCGGGCUUCGCGCGGAUAGAUGAGCCGAUGUCGGAUUAGCUAGUUGGCGGGGUAAAGGCCCACCAAGGCGACGAUCCGUAGCUGGUCUGAGAGGAUGAUCAGCCACACUGGAACUGAGACACGGUCCAGACUCCUACGGGAGGCAGCAGUGGGGAAUAUUGGACAAUGGGCGCAAGCCUGAUCCAGCCAUGCCGCGUGGGUGAAGAAGGCCUUCGGGUUGUAAAGCCCUUUUGUUGGGAAAGAAAAGCAGCCGGUUAAUACCCGGUUGUUCUGACGGUACCCAAAGAAUAAGCACCGGCUAACUUCGUGCCAGCAGCCGCGGUAAUACGAAGGGUGCAAGCGUUACUCGGAAUUACUGGGCGUAAAGCGUGCGUAGGUGGUUGUUUAAGUCCGUUGUGAAAGCCCUGGGCUCAACCUGGGAAUUGCAGUGGAUACUGGGCAACUAGAGUGUGGUAGAGGAUGGCGGAAUUCCCGGUGUAGCAGUGAAAUGCGUAGAGAUCGGGAGGAACAUCUGUGGCGAA
This 574-nucleotide ribosomal RNA is filed under the name Xanthomonas sp. Its description in RNAcentral is "bacterial SSU rRNA". It matches the Rfam family "Bacterial small subunit ribosomal RNA", at positions 150 to 719 of the family's 1533-position model. Lineage: Bacteria; Pseudomonadati; Pseudomonadota; Gammaproteobacteria; Lysobacterales; Lysobacteraceae. The record is from RNAcentral.